Molecule: long non-coding RNA, 480 nt
Filed under: Lathyrus oleraceus (garden pea)
Lineage: Eukaryota; Viridiplantae; Streptophyta; Magnoliopsida; Fabales; Fabaceae
Description: Pisum sativum (pea) long non-coding RNA (PSAT_LNC029159)
Source: RNAcentral
CCUCAUGUUAUCGUUAUUCUAGGGAAACCGUGAAAUCGGGGUCGAAGGGUGUUGAUUGGGGAUAAGGGUCGAAGUUUGGUUUGUCUGCACUUUACAUUCAAUCACUGCCUCAUUGUUUUGCCGCUUGUUUGCUAAAAUUUAUUUGUGUAGAUGUGUUUGUCUGGAUGGAUUCUUUGUUGUUUGAAGGUUUGCAUAAGAACUUCUAUUCUGUAGAUGCGUUUUCUUUUGAGAUGGUAAUGAUGAACACCAUAAGGUGUUCAUCCUUGACCCUAGGGUGGGCGCGUCGGUGUUCUUCUUUGGUUUUCUUUUUGUGGGAGAAGAUAGGGUUUGGUCGCUGUUAAAAAAGGGAUAUCAGAAAUUUAUUUCAGAGAGAGAAACAACCGAGUAGGUGAGAUGAACGUGUGGAUGCUGGAGUUUUCCUUCUUGGAAAACGCGUUAUUUCAGUAAUCUUGGGAAAAUGGAAAAGCUUUUAUUCUUUUU